CCUACGGGAGGCAGCUGUGAGGAAUAUUGGUCAAUGGACGAGAGUCUGAACCAGCCAAGUAGCGUGAAGGAUGACUGCCCUAUGGGUUGUCAACUUCUUUUAUCAAGGAAUAAAAUGAGGCACGUGUGCCUUUUUGUAUGUACUUUAUGAAUAAGGAUCGACUAACUCCGUGCCAGCAGCCGCGGUAAUACGGAGGAUCCGAGCGUUAUCCGGUUUUAUUGGGUUUAAAGGGAGCGUAAAUGGGUUGUUAAGUCAGUUGUGAAAGUUUGCGGCUCAACCGUAAAAUUGCAAUUGAUACUGGCAGUCUUGAGUACAGUUGAGGUAGGCGGAAUUCGUGGUGUAGCGGUGAAAUGCUUAGAUAUCACGAAGAACUCCGAUUGCGAAGGCAGCUUACUAAACUGCCACUGACAUUGAUGCUCGAAAGUGUGGGUAUCAAACAGGAUUAGAUACCCCUGUAGUC
This 460-nucleotide ribosomal RNA is filed under the name uncultured bacterium. Its description in RNAcentral is "partial 16S ribosomal RNA". It matches the Rfam family "Bacterial small subunit ribosomal RNA", at positions 338 to 795 of the family's 1533-position model. The record is from RNAcentral.